UUCCUCCUAGGAAAGGAAUUUGGAUAUCAUUGGAUCAGCGUACGAUACUGGAAUCUGCAAAAACCAUAAAUGCUCUAAUUUCAUGUCCUUUUUUCGUCUCUAUUUCCACUUUGCUCACCUAUGUCCAAAUUACAACAGCUUUAUGUACGGAUAUAUAUCUCAACUCUUCAGUAAACCAAAGCUUGCGUCUUCUUCUAACAGUGCCAGAAUAUUUACUUAAAAAAAGAAAAAAAGAAAAAAGACAGUGCUAGAGCUCUAGAGGCUAGUUAACUUUAAAUUAUUUACCCCACCCAGAAAAAAAAAAAAAAAGGUUGGUAGCUAAUCUCUCCCCAAUUCCAUUCCUGACCAUCAGAGCUUUACCUUAUUUCAUGAUGUUAACAGGAAGGGAACGAGGAAAUCUCACACACAGAGAUACUGCUCUUGUUCAGAAUUUGAUCGAGAGAUGUUUGCAGUUGUAUAUGUCAAGAAACGAGGUUAUAGCUACUCUCUUGAGUCAUGCUAAGAUUAAACCUCAAUUUACUGACUUGGUAUGGCAGAGGUUGGAAGAAGAAAAUGCUGAUUUUUUCAAAGGUUAUUAUGUAAAGCUCAAGCUGAAAGAUCAAACUUGUUUCUUCAAUUAUUUGCUCCACCAACAGUACCAUAUGACGAGGCAGAAUGGGAGACAACAUCUACCCGUUGACAGUUUACCUCCACCACAACCUUCUAUUCAAUCGCCUUCAAAUCCAAUUUCAUCUACUGGUUAUCAUCGCUCUAAUAGUUCUAUGGGCACUAUACCCUCUAAUAGUUCUAUGGAUACUAUGUCUGAUAUGGAAGACAGAAAUCAUACACUUGAAAAUUUUAUUAGUUUGUUAAAUUCUGAUAAUGGGUGAGUAUUUCCAUUUCAUAUCUAAUUAUUUUUUUUAUUGUUUAAUUUGUGUAUAUCUUAUUUUUUAUUUUUUAUUUAUAAUUUCGAUACUUUUUUCUUUAUUAACUAUUGAUCGUUAUACCAUUGUUAUUGAAUUGAUUCUAUUGAAGCAUGGUGAUGACUGGAAACGUAAGAAACGUAGGCGGUGCUACACCUCUAUCAAGUUAUUCAAAAAUGGCAUCCAAUAUUCAAUUUCCUUCUCCUCCAUUAGACAUGUCAGGAUUGAAUAUGGAUAACAAAUGGGUACCUGAUUCUGCAUUUAAUGAUUUGGCAACUUCAAAAAAUUCAGCCAGUAAUUUCAUUGAAACAGUGAACUAUCCAAAUGCUCAAGUAUGGAAUCAGGAAGACAUAUUUUCAGUUGUAGCAGAUCUUGAAGAUGUGACAGGUUGUGAAGGUUUCCAUUCUCUAUCUUCUAGUCCAGAAAUUAAAAGUGAUUCUCCAAAUCAGAAUGGCAGGGAGGAAAACUCAACGCGUCAUCUUCAGGAUCAGAUAGGUCUGGUCAGAAGCAAAUUCCAAUGAUCAGAGCAACUUGAGGCGUAUCUUCAGGAUCAGAUAGGACAAGCAAAUUCUAAAAAUCUUGCUCCUGCUGAGGAGCAAAUCUGUAAUACCUAUUUGAUAAUUCAAUGUAAAUGUGCCAAUC
Molecule: RNA transcript, 1544 nt
Organism: Ziziphus jujuba (common jujube)
Lineage: Eukaryota; Viridiplantae; Streptophyta; Magnoliopsida; Rosales; Rhamnaceae
Exons: 7
Source: RefSeq, a predicted model, not a curated record